RNAcentral lists this ribosomal RNA (301 nucleotides) under uncultured bacterium. RNAcentral describes it as "partial 16S ribosomal RNA". It matches the Rfam family "Bacterial small subunit ribosomal RNA", at positions 509 to 807 of the family's 1533-position model. The record is from RNAcentral.
CAGCAGCCACGGUAAUACGUAGGUGACAAGCGUUGUCCGGAAUUAUUGGGCGUAAAGGGCUCGCAGGCGAUUUCUUAAGUCUGAUGUGAAAGCCCCCGGCUCAACCGGGGAGGGUCAUUGGAAACUGGGAAACUUGAGUGCAGAAGAGGAGAGUGGAAUUCCACGUGUAGCGGUGAAAUGCGUAGAGAUGUGGAGGAACACCAGUGGCGAAGGCGACUCUCUGGUCUGUAACUGACGCUGAGGGGCGAAAGCGUGGGGAGCGAACAGGAUUAGAUACCCGCGUAGUCCCUGUCUCUUAUAC